RNAcentral lists this ribosomal RNA (450 nucleotides) under uncultured bacterium. RNAcentral describes it as "partial 16S ribosomal RNA". It matches the Rfam family "Bacterial small subunit ribosomal RNA", at positions 338 to 795 of the family's 1533-position model. The record is from RNAcentral.
CCUACGGGCGGCUGCAGUGGGGAAUUUUGGACAAUGGGGGCAACCCUGAUCCAGCCAUGCCGCGUGCGGGAAGAAGGCCUUCGGGUUGUAAACCGCUUUUAGCCGGGAAGAAAAGGCGAGGGAUAACACCCUUCGUUCUUGACGGUACCGGCGGAAUAAGCACCGGCUAACUACGUGCCAGCAGCCGCGGUAAUCCGUAGGGUGAGAGCGUUAAGCGGAAUGACUGGACGUAAAGCGUGCGCAGGGGGGUGCAAGCCCCGGGCUCAACCUGGGAAUUGCAUUGGAUACUGGCGGGCUUGAGUGUGGCAGAGGGGGGUGGAAUUCCGCGUGUAGCAGUGAAAUGCGUAGAGAUGCGGAGGAACACCGAUGGCGAAGGCAGCCCCCUGGGCUGACACUGACGCUCAGGCACGAAAGCGUGGGGAGCAAACAGGAUUAGAUACCCCAGUAGUC